RNAcentral lists this small nucleolar RNA (106 nucleotides) under Jaculus jaculus (lesser Egyptian jerboa). Its description in RNAcentral is "Small nucleolar RNA SNORA70 (ENSJJAG00000001378.1)". It matches the Rfam family "Small nucleolar RNA SNORA70", at positions 1 to 105 of the family's 135-position model. Rfam says of the family: snoRNA U70 seems to be exclusive to mammals and is a member of the H/ACA class of snoRNA which contain H (ANANNA) and ACA box motifs. H/ACA box snoRNAs are involved in the conversion of uridines to pseudouridines (5-ribosyluracil) a constituent of structural RNAs (transfer, ribosomal, small nuclear, and small nucleolar). Lineage: Eukaryota; Metazoa; Chordata; Mammalia; Rodentia; Dipodidae. The record is from Rfam by way of RNAcentral.
CUGCAGUCAAUUAAGCUGACCAGGUUCCUUUACUCAUGGUGACUUGGUGUGCAAUGGCUGCAAACAGCAGCCUCCUUGGGUAGUGUAUGUAACCUUUUUAAAAUAU